CCUACGGGAGGCAGCAGUGAGGAAUAUUGGUCAAUGGACGAAAGUCUGAACCAGCCAUGCAGCGUGAAGGAUGACUGCCCUAUGGGUUGUAAACUUCUUUUAUAUGGGAAUAAAAUGUUCUACGUGUGUGAUUUUGUAUGUACCGUAUGAAUAAGGAUCGGCUAACUCCGUGCCAGCAGCCGCGGUAAUACGGAGGAUCCGAGCGUUAUCCGGAUUUAUUGGGUUUAAAGGGAGCGUAGGUGGUUUGUUAAGUUAGUUGUGAAAGUUUGGGGCUCAACCGUAAAAUUGCAGUUGAUACUGGGAGUCUUGAGUACAGUAGAGGUAGGCGGAAUGCGUGGUGUAGCGGUGAAAUGCUUAGAUAUCACGAAGAACACCGAUUGCGAAGGCAGCUCACUGGACUGUAACUGACGCUGAGGCUCGAAAGUGUGGGUAGCAAACAGGAUUAGAUACCCCGGUAGUC
This 460-nucleotide ribosomal RNA is filed under the name uncultured bacterium. RNAcentral describes it as "partial 16S ribosomal RNA". It matches the Rfam family "Bacterial small subunit ribosomal RNA", at positions 338 to 795 of the family's 1533-position model. The record is from RNAcentral.